Molecule: ribosomal RNA, 207 nt
Filed under: uncultured bacterium
Lineage: Bacteria
Description: partial 16S ribosomal RNA
Rfam family: Bacterial small subunit ribosomal RNA
Source: RNAcentral
CGCAGGUGGUCUAUUAAGUCUGAUGUGAAAGCCUUCGGCUUAACCGUAGUAGUUCAUUGGAAACUGGUUGACUUGAGUGCAGAAGAGGAGAGUGGAACUCCAUGUGUAGCGGUGAAAUGCGUAGAUAUAUGGAGGAACACCAGUGGCGAAGGCGGCUCUCUGGUCUGUAACUGACGCUGAGGUUCGAAAGCGUGGGUAGCAAACAGG